UUAGGUCAAGGUGCAGUAUAAAAAAGAUUAUUAUGGAUUACUUUAAGAAAUAUGAAUGAAUUUAAUUUAUAUUAAAUUAAUGAAAUAGGAUUUAAUAGUAAAUUUAUUAAAGUUUUAUAAUGAAUAGAGWUUUUAAAAUAUGUACAUAUUGCCCGUCGCUCUUAUUUAAAUUAAGAUAAGUCGUAACAUAGUAAAUGUACCGGAAGGUGUAUUUAGAACUAUAAGUAAAUAGUUUAAUUAAAACUUAUUUGUUACACUAAUAGAAUAUUUAAUAAUUUUACUUUAAAAGGAGUAUAUUAUUUUAAUUUAUAUUGUAAAAGAAAGGGGAAUCUUUUACUUUAUUUUAUUAAAAAAUUAAUAUUGUACCUUUUGUAUCAGGGUUAAUUUAAAUUUAUUUUGUAAAAAAUUUUCUUGAAAAAAAAAGAUUUAAAGUUAAAAUUAUUUUAUUGUAAAAUAAAUAAUUAAAAUUUAAUUUUAGUACUGAUAAAGUAAUACMUUUUUUAUUUCUAGUUACUUUUAUUUUAAUAUAAUUAAWUUUUUUUCUUUAUUAUUGAAUUUUAUUGAAUAAUUUUAGGGAUAAUYUUAAAUUUAUAGUAAUAGUURUAUUUAAWUUAUGAUAAAUAAAAUUAAYGKUAUUCUUUAGUUAAUMUUAUCGUUAAUCMUUAAAWUUUUUUU
Molecule: ribosomal RNA, 675 nt
Filed under: Psylloidea gen sp. 'laosensis'
Lineage: Eukaryota; Metazoa; Arthropoda; Insecta; Hemiptera
Description: partial small subunit ribosomal RNA
Source: RNAcentral